RNAcentral lists this long non-coding RNA (365 nucleotides) under Brassica rapa (field mustard). Its description in RNAcentral is "long non-coding RNA (BRAP_LNC003563)". The record is from RNAcentral. Lineage: Eukaryota; Viridiplantae; Streptophyta; Magnoliopsida; Brassicales; Brassicaceae.
CCCUACUUAAUUAUAUAAUUUCUGCUGAUCUUGUCAACAAAACAAGAAACCAUUCCUACUAGAGGAGGACUUGUUUAAUAGAAACGUUUCUGCAUGCCUCUUUAAAUAUCUUUUUUAUAAAUCUAGACUAUUGUUUUUGGGUUGUAAAAACCUUUAUGCAUGUCUCUUUUGAAUUAUUUUGUUAUAAAUCCAAACAAUAAUUUUAAAUCUUUCUUAACCAGAUUAGAAGAUACACAUGUAAUACUAAUAAUAAACAAAAGAUUCGUAUCCGAAGUUUCUCAUUCCAAUGGAUUUGUCUUCUCUUAUUAGAAGAUACAUGUAUUUGUAUACAAGAUAUCCGAAUCCAAAGUUUCCUUUUUUUUUUG